This 376-nucleotide ribosomal RNA is filed under the name uncultured bacterium. Its description in RNAcentral is "bacterial SSU rRNA". It matches the Rfam family "Bacterial small subunit ribosomal RNA", at positions 524 to 898 of the family's 1533-position model. The record is from RNAcentral.
UACGGAGGGUGCAAGCGUUAAUCGGAAUUACUGGGCGUAAAGGGUGCGUAGGUGGUUGUAUAAGUUAACUGUGAAAUCCCCGGGCUCAACCUGGGCAGGUCAGUUAAGACUGUAUGACUCGAGUAUGGGAGAGGGUAGUGGAAUUUCCGGUGUAGCGGUGAAAUGCGUAGAGAUCGGAAGGAACACCAGUGGCGAAGGCGGCUACCUGGCCCAAUACUGACACUGAGGCACGAAAGCGUGGGGAGCAAACAGGAUUAGAUACCCUGGUAGUCCACGCUGUAAACGAUGUCAACUAGCUGUUGGCCUUAUGAAUGAGGUUAGUGGCGCAGCAAACGCGAUAAGUUGACCGCCUGGGGAGUACGGUCGCAAGAUUAAA